Molecule: long non-coding RNA, 789 nt
Filed under: Lathyrus oleraceus (garden pea)
Lineage: Eukaryota; Viridiplantae; Streptophyta; Magnoliopsida; Fabales; Fabaceae
Description: Pisum sativum (pea) long non-coding RNA (PSAT_LNC006604)
Source: RNAcentral
ACAAAGCAAGAAGGUAUAAAGCACAUAAAGCACGAAAUUCCAGCAUUUUUGUCAAAUCAAAAGGAUGACUCCAAAUUCAGGAAUUGAAACUACUAAUCAAAAUGCCGAAUUUGAAAAACAUAUUCCUUACUACUGCUCUUGUGCGUGAUCUGAUACUGAGCAUGCUUCUUCCUAACUUUCUAUUUUUUAGUAACGUUUUUGUAAAACAACUUUACCAUCAACCGAAAUUGCACUGUCUUUCAUUCUAGUCAUUUCAUUUAUUUUUUUCAGUAUCUCAUCUAUAUACACCACAAAUAACCCAUAGUUUUAAUUGAAAAUAGUUAGCAAAUAGGAGGAGAACCAAAACACAAAGUAAAACCGAAAAACAUAGGGAGCCAAAUAAAGAAAAACUUUUUGCAUAAUUGGUUUUCUCUUCACUGUAACACAACCCCAACCCACUUUAUUCUCUGGUAAAAAAUCAUUUCAAAUAUAGAACACAAAAAUGGGAAGAAGAACUCAAAUAGAACAGAGGAAAUCAAAAGAUCCAAGUCUCUCUCAGCAUUUCAUUUCUCUUUUCGGACCACCUCUAUUCCUAACUGUCAGCCGCUAUCGCCAGAGCCACCACCACCAUCUUAGUCGCACCACCGCCUUCCCAAAACCGUCGUCGUCAUAAAUAGAUCGGCCAACAAUUAAACCACCACCGAUGGAUUUAAUGUCACAAAAAAGACCGUCAUAGCCAUCUCCUCAUUUCCCUCUUCAUAACAACACAAAGGAUAGCCUGUUUUCUCUCUUUCUGUUCAAUCGUAUUCU